UUGCUGGUACACACGUGUACAAUGUCUGAACAAAGGGUGCAAGACCGCAAGGUUUAGCCAAUCCCAUAAAUCUGUUCUCAGUUCGGAUCGCAGUCUGCAACUCGACUGCGUGAAGCUGGAAUCGCUAGUAAUCGCGGAUCAGCAUGCCGCGGUGAAUACGUUCCCGGGCCUUGUACACACCGCCCGUCACACCACGAGAGUUUGCAACACCCGAAGUCGGUGAGGUAACCUUUAUGGAGCCAGCCGCCGAAGGUGGGGCAGAUGAUGGGGGG
RNAcentral lists this ribosomal RNA (272 nucleotides) under Bacillus pumilus. RNAcentral's name for it is "partial 16S ribosomal RNA". It matches the Rfam family "Bacterial small subunit ribosomal RNA", at positions 1208 to 1481 of the family's 1533-position model. The record is from RNAcentral. Lineage: Bacteria; Bacillati; Bacillota; Bacilli; Caryophanales; Bacillaceae.